UUUUGGCUUUGACUCCAGGUAAUAUAUUCACACGGUUCACGAUUCAAAUGUUACUAAAGGGCACAUAUACAGUGAACAGUACAGUAUCUGAUGUCAUGGUUCUGAAGAUGUGCUGAGAAAGCUAUGCAGAAUUACAGUGUUGAUUCCAAAUUUAAGCAAAGGUUAUCACCAGUGGAUGUCAUCACCAAUGGACAGGGCUCUGAACCAGGCUCGUUGUGGCACACCAGAGGGACAACCAAAAGGCCGGAGACAGAUUAAUGAAGUAACACAGUGGCAUGGAUUUGUCCCCCCUAUUUUGACAAGAGUCAAGAGUUCAACA
This is a long non-coding RNA of Molossus molossus (Pallas's mastiff bat), 319 nucleotides long. RefSeq lists it as uncharacterized. The transcript is spliced from 3 exons. NCBI's taxonomy places the organism in Eukaryota, Metazoa, Chordata, Mammalia, Chiroptera, Molossidae. The record is from RefSeq and is a predicted model, not a curated record.